This 484-nucleotide ribosomal RNA is filed under the name uncultured bacterium. Its description in RNAcentral is "partial 16S ribosomal RNA". It matches the Rfam family "Bacterial small subunit ribosomal RNA", at positions 30 to 507 of the family's 1533-position model. The record is from RNAcentral.
AUUGAACGCUGGCGGCAGGCCUAACACAUGCAAGUCGAGCGGACGAAGGGAGCUUGCUCCUGGCUUAAGCGGCGGACGGGUGAGUAAUGCCUAGGAAUCUGCCUGGUCGUGGGGGAUAACGUCCGGAAACGGGCGCUAAUACCGCAUACGUCAUGAGGGAGAAAGUGGGGGAUCUUCGGACCACACGCUAUUAGAUGAGCCUAGGUCGGAUUAGCUAGUUGGUGGGGUAAAGGCCUACCAAGGCGACGAUCCGUAACUGGUCUGAGAGGAUGAUCAGUCACACUGGAACUGAGACACGGUCCAGACUCCUACGGGAGGCAGCAGUGGGGAAUAUUGGACAAUGGGCGAAAGCCUGAUCCAGCCAUGCCGCGUGUGUGAAGAAGGUCUUCGGAUUGUAAAGCACUUUAAGUUGGGAGGAAGGGCAGUAAGUUAAUACCUUGCUGUUUUGACGUUACCAACAGAAUAAGCACCGGCUAACUUCGUG